UGGGGAAUAUUGCACAAUGGGCGCAAGCCUGAUGCAGCCAUGCCGCGUGUAUGAAGAAGGCCUUCGGGUUGUAAAGUACUUUCAGUCGGGAGGAAGGUGUCAAGGUUAAUAACCUUGGCAAUUGACGUUACCGACAGAAGAAGCACCGGCUAACUCCGUGCCAGCAGCCGCGGUAAUACGGAGGGUGCAAGCGUUAAUCGGAAUUACUGGGCGUAAAGCGCACGCAGGCGGUUGAUUGAGUCAGAUGUGAAAUCCCCGGGCUUAACCCGGGAAUUGCAUCUGAUACUGUCAGCUAGAGUCUUGUAGAGGGGGGUAGAAUUCCAUGUGUAGCGGUGAAAGGCGUAGAGAUGUGGAGGAAUACCGGUGGCGAAGGCGGCCCCCUGGACAAAGACUGACGCUCAGGUGCGAAAGCGUGGGGAGCAAACAGG
This 428-nucleotide ribosomal RNA is filed under the name Chloroflexota bacterium. Its description in RNAcentral is "Chloroflexi bacterium partial 16S ribosomal RNA". It matches the Rfam family "Bacterial small subunit ribosomal RNA", at positions 355 to 776 of the family's 1533-position model. The record is from RNAcentral. Lineage: Bacteria; Bacillati; Chloroflexota.